Molecule: ribosomal RNA, 775 nt
Filed under: uncultured Neocallimastigales
Lineage: Eukaryota; Fungi; Neocallimastigomycota; Neocallimastigomycetes; Neocallimastigales
Description: partial large subunit ribosomal RNA
Rfam family: Eukaryotic large subunit ribosomal RNA
Source: RNAcentral
UACUAGAGUAGCACUCGCAUAUCAAUAAGCGGAGGAAAAGAAACUAACAAGGAUUCCCCUAGUAACGGCGAGUGAAGCGGGAAGAGCUCAAAUUUGAAAUCUUAAAGGGUUUCCCUUUACGAAUUGUAGUUUAAAGAAGUGUUUUCUGUUGAGGUUUUGGUAAAAGUUCUUUGGAAUAGGACAUCAUAGAGGGUGAGAAUCCCGUAUUUGACCUUUACUUUCAACUUUGUGAUACACUUUCAAAGAGUCGGAUUGUUUGGGAAUGCAGUCCAAAAUGGGUGGUAAAUUUCAUCUAAAGCUAAAUAUUGGCGAGAGACCGAUAGCGAACAAGUACCGUGAGGGAAAGAUGAAAAGAACUUUGAAAAGAGAGUUAAACAGUACGUGAAAUUGUCAGAAGGGAAGCGUUUGACACCAGUGUUGUUUUUCUGAAAAUCAAUUAAAGAACUGUUUAUGCUAAGUCUGUUUAGACUUUAUCAGCUAUCUGUUUAGUUUUGAGCUUUUCUUUAAUGCACUUUUCAGUUAACAAGUCAACAUCAAUUUCUUUUGCUGUAAAAAAGCUUGAGGAAGGUGGCUUGAGAUUCGUCUUAAGUGUUUAUAGCCUCUUGCCUAUGCAGUCGGAGAGAUUGAGGUCUGCAGCGUAGAUCCUUCGGGGCUAAAUGCAUUUGUGCUAAGUUAUAGCAUUUUAUAGACAACUUGUUGACUAUGAUUUGUCUUGUAGCUUACUCGCUUAUGUUAUUUUACCUACGCUUAGGAUGUUGAGCGCAUGUCUCUCUCU